Molecule: ribosomal RNA, 510 nt
Filed under: uncultured bacterium
Lineage: Bacteria
Description: partial 16S ribosomal RNA
Rfam family: Bacterial small subunit ribosomal RNA
Source: RNAcentral
AACGAACGCUGGCGGCAUGCCUAACACAUGCAAGUCGAACGGCAGCACGGUUAAGUACUUGUACUUAAUGGGUGGCGAGUGGCGAACGGGUGAGUAAUGCGCAGGAAUGUGCCUUAAAGAGGGGGAUAACUUGGGGAAACUCAAGCUAAUACCGCAUAAGCUCUGAGGAGUAAAGCUGGGGACCUUCGGGCCUGGCGCUUUAAGAAUAGCCUGCGUCCGAUUAGCUAGUUGGUAGGGUAAAGGCCUACCAAGGCGACGAUCGGUAGCUGGUCUGAGAGGAUGAACAGCCACACCGGGACUGAGACACGGCCCAGACUCCUACGGGAGGCAGCAGUGGGGAAUAUUGGACAAUGGGGGCAACCCUGAUCCAGCAAUGCCGCGUGUGUGAAGAAGGCCUGAGGGUUGUAAAGCACUUUCAGUGGGGAGGAGGAUUGAUUGGUUAAGAGCUGAUUAAUUGGACGUUACCUACAGAAGAAGCACCGGCUAACUCCGUGCCAGCCGCCGCCGUAA